Molecule: ribosomal RNA, 208 nt
Filed under: uncultured bacterium
Lineage: Bacteria
Description: partial 16S ribosomal RNA
Rfam family: Bacterial small subunit ribosomal RNA
Source: RNAcentral
GGACUGUAGGCUGCAACUCGCCUACACGAAGCUGGAAUCGCUAGUAAUCGCGGAUCAGCACGCCGCGGUGAAUACGUUCCCGGGCCUUGUACACACCGCCCGUCACACCAUGAGAGUCUGUAACACCCAAAGCCGGUGGGAUAACCUUUAUAGGAGUCAGCCGUCUAAGGUAGGACAGAUGAUUAGGGUGAAGUCGUAACAAGGUAGC